UUAUACGGCGAAACUGCGAAUGGCUCAUUAAAUCAGUUAUCGUUUAUUUGAUAGUACCUUACUACUUGGAUAACCGUGGUAAUUCUAGAGCUAAUACAUGCUGAAAACCCCGACUUCGGAAGGGAUGUAUUUAUUAGAUUAAAGACCAACGCCCUUCGGGGCUCCCUGGUGAUUCAUAAUAACUUGUCGAAUCGCACGGCCUUGCGCCGGCGAUGGCUCAUUCAAAUUUCUGCCCUAUCAACUUUCGACGGCUGGAUCUGGGCCAGCCGUGGUGACAACGGGUAACGGAGGGUUAGGGCUCGGCCCCGGAGAAGGAGCCUGAGAAACGGCUACUACAUCCAAGGAAGGCAGCAGGCGCGCAAAUUACCCAAUCCCGACGCGGGGAGGUAGUGACAAUAAAUACUGAUACAGGGCUCUUUUGGGUCUUGUAAUUGGAAUGAGUACAAUUUAAUUCCCUUAACGAGGAACAAUUGGAGGGCAAGUCUGGUGCCAGCAGCCGCGGUAAUUCCAGCUCCAAUAGCGUAUAUUAAAGUUGUUGCAGUUAAAAAGCUCGUAGUUGAACCUUGGGCCUGGCUGGCCGGUCCGCCUCACCGCGUGCACUGGUCCGGCCGGGCCUUUCCCUCUGGGGAGCCGCAUGCCCUUCACUGGGCGUGUCGGGGAACCAGGACGUUUACUUUGAAAAAAUUAGAGUGUUCAAAGCAGGCUUAUGCUCGGAUACAUUAGCAUGGAAUAAUAGAAUAGGACGUGUGGUUCUAUUUUGUUGGUUUCUAGGACCGCCGUAAUGAUUAAUAGGGACAGUCGGGGGCAUCAGUAUUCAAUUGUCAGAGGUGAAA
Molecule: ribosomal RNA, 833 nt
Filed under: Ceratocystiopsis minuta
Lineage: Eukaryota; Fungi; Ascomycota; Sordariomycetes; Ophiostomatales; Ophiostomataceae
Description: SSU rRNA
Rfam family: Eukaryotic small subunit ribosomal RNA
Source: RNAcentral